AUGCUAAAUGGGUUGAAUUCAUUGAGACUUUCCCUUAUGUCAUUAAACACAAGAAGGGUAAAGAAAAUGUUAUUGCUGAUGCAUUGUCUCGUCGUUAUACUAUGCUUUCACAACUUGACUUUAAAAUAUUUGGUUUGGAGACCAUCAAAGAUCAAUAUGUGCAUGAUGCUGAAUUUAAAGAUGUGUUGCAGAACUGUAAAGAAGGUAGAACAUGGAACAAGUUCGUCGUUAACGAUGGAUUUGUGUUUCGUGCUAACAAGCUAUGCAUUCCAGCUAGCUCCGUUCGUUUUGUUGUUGUUGCAGGAGGCGCAUGGAGGAGGACUAAUGGGACACUUUGGCGUGAAGAAGACGGAGGAUAUACUUGCUACACAUUUCUUUUGGCCAAAGAUGAGACGGGAUGUUGAGCGUUUUGUUGCUCGCUGCACUACAUGUCAAAAAGCUAAGUCACGACUCAAUCCUCAUGGUUUAUAUAUGCCUUUGCCUAUACCUAGUGUUCCUUGGGAGGAUAUAUCUAUGGACUUUGUUUUAGGUUUACCUCGAACAAACAAGGGGAGGGAUUGA
Molecule: ribosomal RNA, 561 nt
Filed under: Triticum aestivum (bread wheat)
Lineage: Eukaryota; Viridiplantae; Streptophyta; Magnoliopsida; Poales; Poaceae
Description: partial small subunit ribosomal RNA
Source: RNAcentral